UAGUGACGAGAGGACCGGAGUGGACGCAUCACUGGUGUUCGGGUUGUCAUGCCAAUGGCACUGCCCGGUAGCUAAAUGCGGAAGAGAUAAGUGCUGAAAGCAUCUAAGCACGAAACUUGCCCCGAGAUGAGUUCUCCCUGACUCCUUGAGAGUCCUGAAGGAACGUUGAAGACGACGACGUUGAUAGGCCGGGUGUGUAAGCGCAGCGAUGCGUUGAGCUAACCGGUACUAAUGAACCGUGAGGCUUAACCUUACAACGCCGAAG
Molecule: ribosomal RNA, 265 nt
Filed under: Escherichia coli
Lineage: Bacteria; Pseudomonadati; Pseudomonadota; Gammaproteobacteria; Enterobacterales; Enterobacteriaceae
Description: partial 23S ribosomal RNA
Rfam family: Bacterial large subunit ribosomal RNA
Source: RNAcentral